CAAAUUUUUGGGAUAAAAGCUUAGGUGAGUUGAGUAUAUAAUUAUUAUCUCCCAUUAUACAUUUAUUUUAAUAGAUUUUUUUGGUUGAAUUUGAAUAGGUUUUAAGAUAAUUUUCUUUUCACUAUAAAUACCCACCAAAAACACCUAAAAAGAAAGAACAAAAGGAAAUUAACCCAUAAUUUGGUGGAGCACUAUAGAGAGAUUCUAAAUCAAUUAUAAGGCUUUCUUUUGUGCAUUUAGAGCCACAAUCAGCUGUCCAUCCUUCUACCAAAAUUACCUUAAAUGAUUUUUAGUUUUAGAUUCAUUUUAAGUGUCUAAUUGACCAAAAUCACAUCUACUUUGAUAUUGGAUAUAUUCUCAUCAUUUGUAGGUAUUCUUAAGUGCUGUAAGGGACCUCUAAUCCAAGAAUUGAAGACCAAUUAUAAGAUAAAUUUGAUUGAACAAAUCUUGCUUUCUUUAUGCAUUAAAACAUAAUGCUAUGAGUCAAUUCUAUAACCUUAGGUAAAUUAUUUUUCUUUUUCUUUUAUUUUUUUAAGUAUUCAUUUUUUUCUAAAUUGUUUGUUAGGAUGUUAACUUUAAUGCCAUAUUUUUAUAUUUGCAAUAGUCUUAGUAUUUUUCUGUGCAUAAAUUUAAUUUGGUUAACAGAUCAGCUUUCGCAUGUGUAUUACAUAUAACAUGUUACUUUUAUUUGGUUUAUUGAACUGAACAUGUAUUGCAGAAUUUCUUUAACAUGACAUGUUAGGUGUAACAUUAUUGAAUUUCAUGAAUUUUUAUUAAAGUUUACUAUUUUUAGAAAUUAAUAUAUAAUUAUUGGCCCAAUCAUUUUUUUUAGUGUCAUCUUUUAUUUUUUGUCUCAUUAUACAUUAACCCAUAUAUAUUUGUGCUCAGUUUAUUUCCCUAUUUUGUAAUAUUAAAUGUUAAUUGGAUUCUUGUAAGAUUUAAACAUUUUUAUAGAGUUUUGAGUAUUUUUUAGAUGAGAACACAAAAUCAUAGCUCAUACAUUAUGAUUCCCAUUUUUUCCUUAUAUUUUAUUGCAUUUUUUUUUUUCUUAUUUUGGUUUCAUACUAACUUGUUUAUUUUGUUGUACAUGAGUUUGAUACUUGUCUUUUUAGUACACUAGAAGGUCGAAUGAGAGCAAUCGCGAUUGAAGCCUCCAAAAUUGAAAUCAAAGAUUUCAAAUAUGUUUCAUUAACUUUUAGGUCUUAAAUUUAGGUGGUAGUGGUGUUGUUGUUGUUGUCGUCGUUUUUUUUUUUUUUUUUUUU
This 1262-nucleotide unclassified non-coding RNA is filed under the name Hevea brasiliensis (rubber tree). The record is from RNAcentral. Lineage: Eukaryota; Viridiplantae; Streptophyta; Magnoliopsida; Malpighiales; Euphorbiaceae.